Molecule: ribosomal RNA, 253 nt
Filed under: uncultured bacterium
Lineage: Bacteria
Description: partial 16S ribosomal RNA
Rfam family: Bacterial small subunit ribosomal RNA
Source: RNAcentral
UACGGAGGGAGCUAGCGUUGUUCGGAAUUACUGGGCGUAAAGCGCACGUAGGCGGCUUUGUAAGUUAGGGGUGAAAGCCUGGAGCUCAACUUCAGAAUUGCCCUUAAGACUGCAUCGCUUGAAUCCAGGAGAGGUGAGUGGAAUUCCGAGUGUAGAGGUGAAAUUCGUAGAUAUUCGGAAGAACACCAGUGGCGAAGGCGACUAACUGGACAUGUAUUGACGCUGAGGUGCGAAAGCGUGGGGAGCAAACAGG